RNAcentral lists this ribosomal RNA (2359 nucleotides) under Klebsiella pneumoniae CHS 25. RNAcentral describes it as "bacterial LSU rRNA". It matches the Rfam family "Bacterial large subunit ribosomal RNA", at positions 1 to 2389 of the family's 2925-position model. Lineage: Bacteria; Pseudomonadati; Pseudomonadota; Gammaproteobacteria; Enterobacterales; Enterobacteriaceae. The record is from RNAcentral.
UUAAGCGACUAAGCGUACACGGUGGAUGCCCUGGCAGUCAGAGGCGAUGAAGGACGUGCUAAUCUGCGAAAAGCGUCGGUAAGGUGAUAUGAACCGUUAUAACCGGCGAUGUCCGAAUGGGGAAACCCAGUGCAAUUCGUUGCACUAUCGUUAACUGAAUACAUAGGUUAACGAGGCGAACCGGGGGAACUGAAACAUCUAAGUACCCCGAGGAAAAGAAAUCAACCGAGAUUCCCCCAGUAGCGGCGAGCGAACGGGGAGCAGCCCAGAGUCUGAAUCAGCUUGUGUGUUAGUGGAACGGUCUGGAAAGUCCGACGGUACAGGGUGAUAGUCCCGUACACCAAAAUGCACAGGCUGUGAACUCGAAGAGUAGGGCGGGACACGUGGUAUCCUGUCUGAAUAUGGGGGGACCAUCCUCCAAGGCUAAAUACUCCUGACUGACCGAUAGUGAACCAGUACCGUGAGGGAAAGGCGAAAAGAACCCCGGCGAGGGGAGUGAAAAAGAACCUGAAACCGUGUACGUACAAGCAGUGGGAGCACCUUCGGGUGUGACUGCGUACCUUUUGUAUAAUGGGUCAGCGACUUAUAUUCUGUAGCAAGGUUAACCGUAUAGGGGAGCCGCAGGGAAACCGAGUCUUAACUGGGCGUUAAGUUGCAGGGUAUAGACCCGAAACCCGGUGAUCUAGCCAUGGGCAGGUUGAAGGUUGGGUAACACUAACUGGAGGACCGAACCGACUAAUGUUGAAAAAUUAGCGGAUGACUUGUGGCUGGGGGUGAAAGGCCAAUCAAACCGGGAGAUAGCUGGUUCUCCCCGAAAGCUAUUUAGGUAGCGCCUCGUGAACUCAUCUUCGGGGGUAGAGCACUGUUUCGGCUAGGGGGUCAUCCCGACUUACCAACCCGAUGCAAACUACGAAUACCGAAGAAUGUUAUCACGGGAGACACACGGCGGGUGCUAACGUCCGUCGUGAAGAGGGAAACAACCCAGACCGCCAGCUAAGGUCCCAAAGUCAUGGUUAAGUGGGAAACGAUGUGGGAAGGCACAGACAGCCAGGAUGUUGGCUUAGAAGCAGCCAUCAUUUAAAGAAAGCGUAAUAGCUCACUGGUCGAGUCGGCCUGCGCGGAAGAUGUAACGGGGCUAAACCAUGCACCGAAGCUGCGGCAGCGACACUAUGUGUUGUUGGGUAGGGGAGCGUUCUGUAAGCCUGCGAAGGUGUGCUGUGAGGCAUGCUGGAGGUAUCAGAAGUGCGAAUGCUGACAUAAGUAACGAUAAAGCGGGUGAAAAGCCCGCUCGCCGGAAGACCAAGGGUUCCUGUCCAACGUUAAUCGGGGCAGGGUGAGUCGACCCCUAAGGCGAGGCCGAAAGGCGUAGUCGAUGGGAAACAGGUUAAUAUUCCUGUACUUGGUGUUACUGCGAAGGGGGGACGGAGAAGGCUAUGUUAGCCGGGCGACGGUUGUCCCGGUUUAAGCAUGUAGGCUGAUUGUCCAGGCAAAUCCGGAUAAUCAAGGCUGAGGUGUGAUGACGAGGCACUACGGUGCUGAAGUAACAAAUGCCCUGCUUCCAGGAAAAGCCUCUAAGCAUCAGGUAACAUCAAAUCGUACCCCAAACCGACACAGGUGGUCAGGUAGAGAAUACCAAGGCGCUUGAGAGAACUCGGGUGAAGGAACUAGGCAAAAUGGUGCCGUAACUUCGGGAGAAGGCACGCUGGUGUGUAGGUGAAGUCCCUGCGGAUGGAGCUGAGACCAGUCGAAGAUACCAGCUGGCUGCAACUGUUUAUUAAAAACACAGCACUGUGCAAACACGAAAGUGGACGUAUACGGUGUGACGCCUGCCCGGUGCCGGAAGGUUAAUUGAUGGGGUUAUCCGUAAGGAGAAGCUCUUGAUCGAAGCCCCGGUAAACGGCGGCCGUAACUAUAACGGUCCUAAGGUAGCGAAAUUCCUUGUCGGGUAAGUUCCGACCUGCACGAAUGGCGUAAUGAUGGCCAGGCUGUCUCCACCCGAGACUCAGUGAAAUUGAACUCGCUGUGAAGAUGCAGUGUACCCGCGGCAAGACGGAAAGACCCCGUGAACCUUUACUAUAGCUUGACACUGAACAUUGAGCCUUGAUGUGUAGGAUAGGUGGGAGGCUUUGAAGCGUGGACGCCAGUCUGCGUGGAGCCAACCUUGAAAUACCACCCUUUAAUGUUUGAUGUUCUAACGUUGGCCCCUGACCGGGGUUGCGGACAGUGUCUGGUGGGUAGUUUGACUGGGGCGGUCUCCUCCCAAAGCGUAACGGAGGAGCACGAAGGUUAGCUAAUCCUGGUCGGACAUCAGGAGGUUAGUGCAAUGGCAUAAGCUAGCUUGACUGCGAGCGUGACGGCG